CCUACGGGAGGCAGCAGUGGGGAAUAUUGGACAAUGGGGGCAACCCUGAUCCAGCCAUGCCGCGUGUGUGAAGAAGGCCCUCGGGUUGUAAAGCACUUUCAGUGAGGAAGAACGCCUGGUGGUUAAUACCCAUCAGGAAAGACAUCACUCACAGAAGAAGCACCGGCUAACUCCGUGCCAGCAGCCGCGGUAAUACGGAGGGUGCGAGCGUUAAUCGGAAUUACUGGGCGUAAAGCGCGCGUAGGUGGCUUGAUAAGCCGGUUGUGAAAGCCCCGGGCUCAACCUGGGAACGGCAUCCGGAACUGGCAAGCUAGAGUGCGGGAGAGGAAGGUAGAAUUCCCGGUGUAGCGGUGAAAUGCGUAGAGAUCGGGAGGAAUACCAGUGGCGAAGGCGGCCUUCUGGACUGACACUGACACUGAGGUGCGAAAGCGUGGGUAGCAAACAGGAUUAGAUACCCGAGUAGUC
This 465-nucleotide ribosomal RNA is filed under the name Vreelandella stevensii. Its description in RNAcentral is "partial 16S ribosomal RNA". It matches the Rfam family "Bacterial small subunit ribosomal RNA", at positions 338 to 795 of the family's 1533-position model. Lineage: Bacteria; Pseudomonadati; Pseudomonadota; Gammaproteobacteria; Oceanospirillales; Halomonadaceae. The record is from RNAcentral.